This 56-nucleotide transfer RNA is filed under the name Alphaproteobacteria bacterium 62-8. RNAcentral's name for it is "tRNA-Gln". It matches the Rfam family "tRNA", at positions 1 to 55 of the family's 71-position model. Rfam says of the family: Transfer RNA (tRNA) molecules are approximately 80 nucleotides in length. Their secondary structure includes four short double-helical elements and three loops (D, anti-codon, and T loops). Further hydrogen bonds mediate the characteristic L-shaped molecular structure. tRNAs have two regions of fundamental functional importance: the anti-codon, which is responsible for specific mRNA codon recognition, and the 3' end, to which the tRNAs corresponding amino acid is attached (by aminoacyl-tRNA synthetases). tRNAs cope with the degeneracy of the genetic code in two manners: having more than one tRNA (with a specific anti-codon) for a particular amino acid; and 'wobble' base-pairing, i.e. permitting non-standard base-pairing at the 3rd anti-codon position. Lineage: Bacteria; Pseudomonadati; Pseudomonadota; Alphaproteobacteria. The record is from RNAcentral.
UGGGGCGUCGCCAAGCGGUAAGGCACCGGAUUUUGAUUCCGGCAUUCGGAGGUUCG